Molecule: long non-coding RNA, 687 nt
Organism: Acanthochromis polyacanthus (spiny chromis)
Lineage: Eukaryota; Metazoa; Chordata; Actinopteri; Pomacentridae
Exons: 3
Source: RefSeq, a predicted model, not a curated record
AUGGAGGCCACCUCCUGCAGGUUUCUGCGGUAUCGCUGCUCGUCCAGGUCCGGCAGGAAGAAGACAGAGAUGAUCCUCUCUGUGAUGUAGCGGCUGGUUCACGAAGAGGCUGCCAGCACAGAUUUGGCCGUCACAGAUGAUGGGCUAGCUGUCAGGCUCUACACCAGAAUGGAAAUGGAGAACCUGAAAGGGCCGAUUAUGAAGCCGUUGCUGUGAAUGUUCAUGCCACCUCCACCUCCUGCAGCAGAAAGCCGUCUUAAAACACCUCUGAAGCCACCCUGUGAUAUGUGGUGCCUGAUAUUAGAAGCAGAUCCUUAAAUUUCUGCAAGCUGCAAGUCGGAGACUGGUUCCAGCACAUUCCUCAACACCCUGCCUUCGUUUUUUGGACGGCACUCAUCACUGCUGAACGCCUCACAAGCCUGAACAUUUUGCAGAUGCUCCCAAAUCAUGAUCAUUUAUGUGCUGUUCCAUUACUGUCAGUCAGUUUGCUUUCAUUUUAUUGAUAGGGAAUGAUUUAUCAUUCACCAAAUCAUAAGAGGGACAUUACAUUCGAUUUAUUUUUCAACUCCAAAUAGAUUUGUCAAGUAAGAAAAUCUACUUUCUUAUUCUACUACGUCAUCACAAAUAAUAUUUUUCUCAUUUCAUGGCACACACACUCAUAAUCUCUGUGAUACACAAACUGGAGAU